GGGGAGCUGGCUCAGUAGGUAGAGUACAUGCCUUCCAUGCAUGAGGCCUUGGGUUCAGUCCCUCUUCCUA
This 70-nucleotide transfer RNA is filed under the name Erinaceus europaeus (western European hedgehog). It matches the Rfam family "tRNA". From Rfam's summary of the family: Transfer RNA (tRNA) molecules are approximately 80 nucleotides in length. Their secondary structure includes four short double-helical elements and three loops (D, anti-codon, and T loops). Lineage: Eukaryota; Metazoa; Chordata; Mammalia; Eulipotyphla; Erinaceidae. The record is from Rfam by way of RNAcentral.